Molecule: ribosomal RNA, 596 nt
Filed under: uncultured bacterium
Lineage: Bacteria
Description: bacterial SSU rRNA
Rfam family: Bacterial small subunit ribosomal RNA
Source: RNAcentral
UGGUAGUNCACGCCCUAAACGAUGUCGAUUAGCUGUUGGGCAGCUUGACUGCUUAGUAGCGAAGCUAACGCGUGAAAUCGACCGCCUGGGGAGUACGGUCGCAAGAUUAAAACUCAAAGGAAUUGACGGGGACCCGCACAAGCGGUGGAUGAUGUGGAUUAAUUCGAUGCAACGCGAAGAACCUUACCUGGUCUUGACAUGUACGGAACCCUCCAGAGACGGAGGGGUGCCUUCGGGAGCCGUAACACAGGUGCUGCAUGGCUGUCGUCAGCUCGUGUCGUGAGAUGUUGGGUUAAGUCCCGCAACGAGCGCAACCCUUGUCAUUAGUUGCCAUCAUUAAGUUGGGCACUCUAAUGAGACUGCCGGUGACAAGCCGGAGGAAGGUGGGGAUGACGUCAAGUCCUCAUGGCCCUUAUGACCAGGGCUUCACACGUCAUACAAUGGUCGGUACAGAGGGUAGCCAAGCCGCGAGGUGGAGCCAAUCUCACAAAACCGAUCGUAGUCCGGAUUGCACUCUGCAACUCGAGUGCAUGAAGUCGGAAUCGCUAGUAAUCGCAGGUCAGCAUACUGCGGUGAAUACGUUCCCGGGUCUUGUA